CAGCCGCCGCGGUAACACGUAGGGUGCGAGCGUUAAUCGGAAUUACUGGGCGUAAAGCGUGCGCAGGCGGUUAUAUAAGACAGAUGUGAAAUCCCCGGGCUCAACCUGGGAACUGCAUUUGUGACUGGCAAGCUAGAGUCUGGCAGAGGGGGGUGGAAUUCCACGUGUAGCAGUGAAAUGCGUAGAGAUGUGGAGGAACACCGAUGGCGAAGGCAGCCCCCUGGGCCAAUACUGACGCUCAUGCACGAAAGCGUGGGGAGCAAACAGGAUUAGAGACCCCUGUAGUCCCUGUCUCUUAUAA
This 301-nucleotide ribosomal RNA is filed under the name uncultured bacterium. Its description in RNAcentral is "partial 16S ribosomal RNA". It matches the Rfam family "Bacterial small subunit ribosomal RNA", at positions 509 to 809 of the family's 1533-position model. The record is from RNAcentral.